GAUGUUCUAACGUGGACCCGUUACCCGGGUUGCGGACAGUGUCUGGUGGGUAGUUUGACUGGGGCGGUCUCCUCCUAAAGAGUAACGGAGGAGCACGAAGGUUGGCUAAUCCUGGUCGGACAUCAGGAGGUUAGUGCAAUGGCAUAAGCCAGCUUGACUGCGAGCGUGACGGCGCGAGCAGGUGCGAAAGCAGGUCAUAGUGAUCCGGUGGUUCUGAAUGGAAGGGCCAUCGCUCAACGGAUAAAAGGUACUCCGGGGAUAACAGGCUGAUACCGCCCAAGAGUUCAUAUCGACGGCGGUGUUUGGCACCUCGAUGUCGGCUCAUCACAUCCUGGGGCUGAAGUAGGUCCCAAGGGUAUGGCUGUUCGCCAUUUAAAGUGGUACGCGAGCUGGGUUUAGAACGUCGUGAGACAGUUCGGUCCCUAUCUGCCGUGGGCGCUGGAGAACUGAGGGGGGCUGCUCCUAGUACGAGAGGACCGGAGUGGACGCAUCACUGGUGUUCGGGUUGUCAUGCCAAUGGCACUGCCCGGUAGCUAAAUGCGGAAGAGAUAAGUGCUGAAAGCAUCUAAGCACGAAACUUGCCCCGAGAUG
This 591-nucleotide ribosomal RNA is filed under the name Salmonella enterica. Its description in RNAcentral is "partial 23S ribosomal RNA". It matches the Rfam family "Bacterial large subunit ribosomal RNA", at positions 2216 to 2806 of the family's 2925-position model. Lineage: Bacteria; Pseudomonadati; Pseudomonadota; Gammaproteobacteria; Enterobacterales; Enterobacteriaceae. The record is from RNAcentral.